AUUGAACGCUGGCGGCAUGCUUUACACAUGCAAGUCGAACGGUAACAGCACUUCGGUGGCUGACGAGUGGCGAACGGGUGAGUAAUACAUCGGAACGUGCCUAGUAGUGUGGGAUAACUACUCGAAAGAGUAGCUAAUACCGCAUGAGAUCUAAGGAUGACAGCAGGGGACCUUCGGGCCUUGCGCUACUAGAGCGGCUGAUGGCAGAUUAGGUAGUUGGUGGGAUAAAAGCUUACCAAGCCGACGAUCUGUAGCUGGUCUGGGAGGACGACCAGCCACACUGGGACUGAGACACGGCCCAGACUCCUACGGGAGGCAGCAGUGGGGAAUUUUGGACAAUGGGCGCAAGCCUGAUCCAGCAAUGCCGCGUGCAGGAUGAAGGCCUUCGGGUUGUAAACUGCUUUUGUACGGAACGAAAAGCCCUCUUCUAAUACAGGAGGGUCAUGACGGUACCGUAAGAAUAAGCACCGGCUAACUACGUG
This 482-nucleotide ribosomal RNA is filed under the name uncultured bacterium. RNAcentral's name for it is "partial 16S ribosomal RNA". It matches the Rfam family "Bacterial small subunit ribosomal RNA", at positions 30 to 507 of the family's 1533-position model. The record is from RNAcentral.